RNAcentral lists this ribosomal RNA (253 nucleotides) under uncultured bacterium. RNAcentral describes it as "partial 16S ribosomal RNA". It matches the Rfam family "Bacterial small subunit ribosomal RNA", at positions 524 to 776 of the family's 1533-position model. The record is from RNAcentral.
UACGUAGGGACCAAGCGUUGUCCGGAAUCAUUGGGCGUAAAGAGCGUGUAGGCGGCUUGUUAAGUUUUGCGUGAAAUCUCGGGGCUCAACCCCGAGCGGUCGUGAGAAACUGGCAGGCUAGAGUACGGAAGAGGCGAGUGGAAUUCCUGGUGUAGCGGUGAAAUGCGCAGAUAUCAGGAGGAACACCAAUUGCGAAGGAAGCUCGCUGGGACGUUACUGACGCUGAGACGCGAAAGCGUGGGGAGCAAACAGG